Molecule: non-coding RNA, 1033 nt
Organism: Cyanistes caeruleus (blue tit)
Lineage: Eukaryota; Metazoa; Chordata; Aves; Passeriformes; Paridae
Source: RefSeq, a predicted model, not a curated record
UUUAACUGUGAAAUUGCACUGGAAAGCCUUAACAGCCAACUGAUGAGCCAGUGGGGGAGAAAGAGACUGGGAGUGCUGGAGUUAGUCUGGAGUGCAUUUGAAAUGCAAUGAGCUUUCUUACUGUCCCAAACAGCAUCUAAUAUUUUGCUUUCUUCAAGGCCUGCCCUUCUCUGAUGUAAAGAAUCCUGUGAUCCCAUGCCACCAGGAGUCUAGGGAAAACAGCUUCACCUUACAUGCUGCAAAACUGUCACCAAAAGUAGUUUGGGAGCAUUAAGUAGUAGGGAAACAUUUUUUCCCCCACCUUGUGCUUUUGGAAGUCUCCACAGGCUGGGAGGUAUUUCUGUUUCAGGUUGUGACAGCAAUGGCUGCAUACAUGCUACAGCUCUGACAGCAGAUGUGAAUAAUGGAAAAGGGCUCUGAACACGAGAAGUCACUCUGAGUGCUUGCUGUACUUUCUUAAUGUGUGUGACAUUGACAUAAUAUGCCCCAGGGCUUUCUGGAUCGGAUGGUGUUUGCCUGUUCCACGUGCUGGUUUUUAUGAACAGCAAUCAAGCUGUAAACAUGUAGGCACUUGGAACACAUGUAGGCAGCGUGUGUGGUGAGUGGCUUCCCGCGCUGUCCAUGGGUGGGAAGCACAGAGCUGAGGUCAGGGCAGCAGAAACAACGUUUUGCCAUCAGAGGAGAGGACUCCUGCUCCCUGGCAGGGCUCAUGGUGGGUGGUCUGGAUGGUGGUGGUGCUACAUCAUGGUGUUGUCUGAUUGUAUGGCACACACAGCACCUGGAAACAGCUUUUGUGAUGCACAGAAGCUCAACCAGAUACAUCUCACAGGAGCUGAUGUGUGAGCUGGAUGUGCUCCUCACCAAUAUCCUUUGUGACAACAGUAAAACUCAAUGUAUGGAAAGCAACUGGACACCAGGAAGGGGCACCCAUGCAGACAGGGGUGGGGUCUGCAUCUCCCACCUCCAUAGAUGUCUCAGCAUGGAAGGAACAGCCUGGAACCUCCUCAGAUUCUGUGUGGUGCCAUCAAAAUCC